UAGCAGCACACCGCUAGGGUUAGCGGCAGACGGGUGAGUAAUACUUGGGCAAUCUGCCCUCGAGAGGGAAACAACCUGCCGAAAGGUGGGCUAAUGUCCCAUAAGACCACAGGGUGACAUCAUCCAGGGGUCAAAGCUCCGCAAGGGGCGCUUGAGGAGGAGCCCGAGUCCUAUCAUGGUAGUUGGUGAGGUAACGGCUCACCAAGCCUUUGACGGGUAGCCGGCCUGAAAGGGUGACCGGCCACACUGGCACUGAGACACGGGCCAGACUCCUACGGGAGGCAGCAGUGGGGAAUUUUGGACAAUGGGGGCAACCCUGAUCCAGCGACGCCGCGUGGAGGACGAAGGUCUUCGGAUUGUAAACUCCUUUUGAAGGGGAUGAAUGCCCUGGUGAAAAGCCAGGGGUGACAGUACUCUUCGAAUAAGCCACGGCUAACUACGUGCCAGCAGCCGCGGUAAUACGUAGGUGGCAAGCGUUACUCGGAAUCACUAGGCGUAAAGCGCAGGUAGGCGGUUCGAUAAGUCUCUUGUGAAAGCUCCUGGCUCAACUGGGAGAGGUCAAGGGAAACUGUCGGGCUAGAGUGUGGUAGAGGAAGCUGGAAUUCCCGGUGUAGCGGUGAAAUGCGUAGAUAUCGGGAGGAAUACCUAUGGCGAAAGCAGGCUUCUGGGCCAUCACUGACGCUGAUCUGCGAAAGCUAGGGGAGCAAACAGGAUUAGAUACCCUGGUAGUCCUAGCCCUAAACGAUGCUCAUUAGGUGUGGAAGGUAUCGACCCCUCCCGCGCCGAAGCUAACGCAUUAAAUGAG
RNAcentral lists this ribosomal RNA (805 nucleotides) under uncultured Pseudomonadota bacterium. RNAcentral describes it as "bacterial SSU rRNA". It matches the Rfam family "Bacterial small subunit ribosomal RNA", at positions 73 to 868 of the family's 1533-position model. Lineage: Bacteria; Pseudomonadati; Pseudomonadota. The record is from RNAcentral.